UAUAUAUAACACUCAAAAUAUAAAAGAUAUUAAUAUGAGACGAUAUACUGCGAGAGAAAUCUUAGAUAUAACACUCAAAAUUCAAUGAUGAAGUUUGGGUCAAUAUUAAUCUUUUUUGAAGUUUAUAAUUUUAUACAUAUUUGAAAUUUAUAAUAAAAUGACAAAUUUGUGUUUAGUUUCACGGGACGGGGUUAUAUGGUGUGACGGGUUUGAGUGGAUUAUAACAUAGGAUGGUAUGCUACGGAAAAAACCCUAUAAUU
Molecule: small RNA, 260 nt
Filed under: Arabidopsis thaliana (thale cress)
Lineage: Eukaryota; Viridiplantae; Streptophyta; Magnoliopsida; Brassicales; Brassicaceae
Description: ATSL261630
Source: RNAcentral